ACUAGCAGCUCCAUAUGCAAUCGUAGCUUUGGUGUACAUUGAACGACUUCGAACUAAUGCUAACAUCGAUCUUUGUCCUACUAAUUGGAAAAAGAUUGUCCUUGGAGCCAUGCUUCUUGCCUCCAAGGUUUGGAUAAAUCAUGGUCUGUGGAGUGUGGAUGACAGCCAGAAUCCCAAGGACAUUGCAGUUGAGAACAUGGGCAAGAUGGAGAAGUGUUUCUUAGAGCUACUUGAGUUUAAUAUUCAUGUAUCUGCCAGUGUCUAUGCAAAAUAUUACUUCGAUCUGUGUGCCUUGGCAAAUGACCAUAACUUGUAUUUUCUAUU
Nomascus leucogenys (northern white-cheeked gibbon) is the source of this 324-nucleotide long non-coding RNA. RefSeq lists it as uncharacterized. NCBI's taxonomy places the organism in Eukaryota, Metazoa, Chordata, Mammalia, Primates, Hylobatidae. The transcript is spliced from 3 exons. The record is from RefSeq and is a predicted model, not a curated record.